RNAcentral lists this transfer RNA (72 nucleotides) under Lachancea kluyveri NRRL Y-12651. RNAcentral describes it as "tRNA-Glu (CTC) (tRNA-Glu-CTC-2-1, tRNA-Glu-CTC-2-2)". It matches the Rfam family "tRNA". From Rfam's summary of the family: Transfer RNA (tRNA) molecules are approximately 80 nucleotides in length. Their secondary structure includes four short double-helical elements and three loops (D, anti-codon, and T loops). Further hydrogen bonds mediate the characteristic L-shaped molecular structure. tRNAs have two regions of fundamental functional importance: the anti-codon, which is responsible for specific mRNA codon recognition, and the 3' end, to which the tRNAs corresponding amino acid is attached (by aminoacyl-tRNA synthetases). tRNAs cope with the degeneracy of the genetic code in two manners: having more than one tRNA (with a specific anti-codon) for a particular amino acid; and 'wobble' base-pairing, i.e. permitting non-standard base-pairing at the 3rd anti-codon position. The record is from RNAcentral. Lineage: Eukaryota; Fungi; Ascomycota; Saccharomycetes; Saccharomycetales; Saccharomycetaceae.
UCCGGUGUAGUGUAAUGGCUAUCACGGUUCGCUCUCACCGAAUCGAUCCGAGUUCGAUUCUCGGCUCCGGAG